UUUUCAUCUGUACAGAAGCCUACAUUUAGUUUGGUAGAAAAUCAUAUUGAUAUUGCUGUUAUGUUCAAGAAAGAAGAGUUUGGUUUUUGUUUGACGAAGAGAGCUGGCACAUCUUUUUCAAAUUGGAGCUGCUUACAGGCUUAGACUCCUGGGGCAACACUCAUAGUACACAGUAGUAUUCAAUUUCCCUUCAUAUUUAUUUACACACAUUAUAACAUAUAAAUAUAAUUAGCUUUACACUCUUCCUGUUUUCUUCCUAUUCUGCUUUCUCUUUUUCUGUCUUAAAUUCUUUUUUUUUUUAUUGGAAGGGGAGGGGAGUUAUUUAUACUAAUGCAAUAUUAAUAUUAUUAAAUUCAUAUUUUCAACUAUUUCCCUUGUAAACAUUUUUUAUUUUUUUUAGUUUCGUUUUUUGUAAUAUUUUUGCUAAAUUAAAAAUUAAAUAAAACAUUUUUCUGUCUACAACAGAGAACACGUUGAUGCAUUUUCGGCUGUGGAUUUAACUUCUCAUGUGAAACUUCAACAUUAACUACCGUACUCCAAAUGAUCAGUAAUACAGUCACAGUCUGUGAACCAUGACUGUUGCGAGCCACACAGCAGUGCUUCCCGUAUUCCUCCACAGUGAUGUUGGCGCUUCUAAAGGUGGAGCCUUUUCCUGUGUGUGUGGCCAUGGCUUGUCGUGCCUGAUAAAGACUUUUGUCUGCUGCUGGACUACAGGCUGCACCAUGGUACCAGGAAAACGUGAGCACAGACUGGCUGAGGGACUGCAGCAGGACAGCCGUACGACCACACCUGCACUGAUGCCAGAGGAAGGGUUCACUGCUGUGGUCACUGACCUGGGAGAAUCUGGAGGGAACAAAGUAUCAGAUAAGAUGACUAGCUAUAUAACCUUAUGUACACAAAAUAAAUAAUUAUCAUUUAGUCACUAAAUGGAUCAGCCAAAGGCCCACUAAAUGUUCAAAAUUGCCUUUAAAAUUCUGUGAUUAUGUUCCAUAAAAUAAGAAAUUAACUUUUCAAUUAAGAAGUAAAAUUGUAAAAAAAGAGAUAUAACUAGAAGGUAAACAAGAAGUACCUUGCAGUGAACUACUAAUUAAACUAAUU
This is a long non-coding RNA of Cynoglossus semilaevis (tongue sole), 1098 nucleotides long. RefSeq lists it as uncharacterized. The record is from RefSeq and is a predicted model, not a curated record. NCBI's taxonomy places the organism in Eukaryota, Metazoa, Chordata, Actinopteri, Pleuronectiformes, Cynoglossidae. The transcript has 3 exons.